This 2395-nucleotide long non-coding RNA is filed under the name Mytilus galloprovincialis (Mediterranean mussel). The record is from RNAcentral. Lineage: Eukaryota; Metazoa; Mollusca; Bivalvia; Mytilida; Mytilidae.
GUUGGUUACGCAGGUUUUAUUUGAACUUGACCUCAUUUUCACAGUCCAUUGCUAAGUUUUAAGUGUUUGUGUUUUGGUCUCAUUUUCUUUAUUUAUAAACAGUAAGUCAUAUAUAUUCGUAAUAUUGAAGAAUUGUUAGCUGUACAUGUUUGCCUGGCAUGGUUCAAUAUGUUCAAUAAGGCAUUGUUUACCAGGUGAGCGAUUCAGGCUCUUGAGAGCCUCUUGUUACUUUUUGUACAGGGGUUAAGAAACAUACAGAGUAUUUUUCUAUAUUAAUCCAAUAUUUUAAAUAUUCUACCCCACCAUAUUUUGUGGGGGAUAUGUUCUUACAUCUACAUUUGUAUAUAUAAUAUUUGAAUAACAACAAAAUAUUGUUAACUGUUUUACUGUUAACAAAAUCCUCAGACACACCUAACAUGACUUCUUUUGCACUGAAAGGCAGGAGAAUGCCAUAAUGUUUAAUCCAAUCUAUAACGGAUAGCCAGAAGUUUUGUGAUACAUUACAUUCCCCAAAAAUGUGAAAAAUAUUUUCUUAAAACUCUGAACAAAAAGUACAAAGUUCAGUUUCUUUUAAUUUACAUUUCAAUAAAAAUGAAUUACAUGGUAGAAUCCUAUGAACAAUCUUAAAUUGAAAGUUUUGCAAAAAAGAGUUUUAGUUAUUAUAAUGAAGGGCAUGGAAUAAAUAGCAUUCCAAUCCUCAAUCUGCAUAUUUAAAUCUCUAAAUGACUUAUUUGACAAAAUAUUAUUGACUUCCAAUGUAUCUCCCAUCCAAUAUAAAGAAGUAACAUUUUAUACAUUGUGACCUUUAUCAUAACACCAUUGCAAGUGUAAUAAGGCAUUAUUGUCAUUUUUCUUGCCCUGAGUUUUGAAAUUUGAAAUCAAAUUUGUUGUUUCAGAAAUGGUGAAAAUAAAUACAUUUAAAAAAUGUAUGAUUCUGGCAUAUACUAUUAAACAAGAACAGUAUAGAAUAUUAUUUAACUGUAAUACUAUGAAAUAGAUGAAAACUUAUUUAUUUUUAACACACUAUUGUUGUCCGUUUUCUGUAUUAUAACAUUUACUCUGUGAAAUAGAUUUUGACACCACAGGUUAUUUUCUAUGAUAGUAUUCACAAUCACAAACUACUUCAUAACCUAGCAUCUCCAUUCAGCAGUAGUCUUACUAGGUUAUAUCAUUGUAAAAAAUAUUAAGUCAUGAAAGUAUUAUUACUUUCCAUUUUUUUUAUAUUUUACAAAUUUUUGAUAAAGAUCAAAUAUUUUUUAGGGAUUUAUAAUAAUCUAUUAUAUGACGAUUUUUUUUAGAAUUUUUCAGUUAAAAAAUGACCAAGUACAAAAAAUAUCCUAAUGCUUAUUUACUAUUUGUAUUUUAAUAGUAAAAUAUAAUUUUGAUAUUUCAAAAAUUAUUUUCUUUGAUGACAUUAUUUUCAUUCAUUAUUAAAAAUUUAUUCUAAAUUCAGUAAGUUUUGAUACAUUUUAAAAUGCAGAUAGUGCAUUACUUCUAGGUUAUGGUAAACUGCUGAGGAAAGUAGUUUAAAUUUAUGGAUUUCUUUUUAUGCUGAAAUGUAUUUCUUUAUCAUGUUUAUAUUUCUAAAUUAUAAGAAAAAGAUGGCUGCUAUACUUAUUUAUUUUAUACUUCUUUACAUCAAUUUUUCAUUGUCUCAGUUAUAAAAGUGGAAUAUUUAUGUGAUUGCAUGAUACAGAGAAAUGUGGAAUGAUGGGGGAAAAGUGAUGAAUUCCUAACAUUCAGGGUAAAUGUGAUAUGCUUGAUUUUUUGUUUCUGUAUAUUUGAUGUUAAUAUAUAGUUGUUGUUCAUUCUUUCUUUGUUUUGAUAUAUUAUAAUAACUAAAUAUUAGGAAAUAAAAAUGAAUAUUAUGUUUAUUAUGUCUUUUUAUGUGUUUAAAUAUUGAUGAAAUAAUGAUGCAUGGUUCACCACAUUUUAUUCAAAACUGUUUUUAUAUGAUAUGACAACUUUUCUUUAAUUCAAAACAACAGUUCACCACAUUUUAUUCAAAACUGUUUUUAUAUGAUAUGACAACUUUUCUUUCAUGCAAAACAACAGUACACAAAACACAACAUAGAAAACAAAAGACUGAGCAACCAACCCUGCCAAUUACUAAGGAUUAUCUCAGGUGCUUCAGAAGGGUGAGAACACAUUAUACAACCUUGAUAAGUUAUAUCAAGUGAUAGUGCAACACAAAACAAUGUUAUUAUUUUGGUUUUAGCAGAAAGAUUAGGAACCUGGUUUAUGUCAAAAAAUGGCUCUUCCUGUUUGUGAAAAAAAAUCCAUGGAAGAUACCAAGACCUUCAUUGAUAAAUAUUCAGUAUAAACUUCAAUAAUAAUACAGGAUGGUCUUGAAGUAUAGAUUUUAGAUACUGACAUCCUUUAUCAAUUAUAAAAU